GGUACCCUAUGAAUCUAGUGGAAUCACUUCUGCACAAACUUGACUACUGAAAUCAGUGUGCGGAAAUGCUUCUGCUACAUUUUUAGGGUCUC
MicroRNA precursor from Strix occidentalis caurina (northern spotted owl), 92 nucleotides. Lineage: Eukaryota; Metazoa; Chordata; Aves; Strigiformes; Strigidae. The record is from Ensembl.